AUUAGUGAGGAGAAGGUUUUGUUUCUUGUAGCUACUUAUGUUGUUGGUAAAGAGAAGAUUUUGGUUGAGAUUGCUAGGAGAUGUAAGAGGAAAA
RNAcentral lists this small RNA (94 nucleotides) under Arabidopsis thaliana (thale cress). RNAcentral's name for it is "ATSL066680". The record is from RNAcentral. Lineage: Eukaryota; Viridiplantae; Streptophyta; Magnoliopsida; Brassicales; Brassicaceae.